This 466-nucleotide long non-coding RNA is filed under the name Setaria viridis. RNAcentral's name for it is "long non-coding RNA (SVIR_LNC004324)". Lineage: Eukaryota; Viridiplantae; Streptophyta; Magnoliopsida; Poales; Poaceae. The record is from RNAcentral.
GGCAGGGGCGUUGGAGAUCUAUAAUAAAAGCAAAGAAAGAACGUACUAUUUAUAUAUGUAUACAAUUUUAAAAGAGAGUAGUCCAAUCCUAAAACUAUUCAGAUAUUGGUACAUGUAAAGCCUGUAGGCCGGGUGGCUAAAUUUGCUAAUAUUGUUGUAGGUGGGGUUACAAGUUCAACGAGCAGGCUGAUAGAGGAGUCACAGGACCCCUGAAGUCCAGAACAAGAACAAAGAAAGCAGGUAUUUUGUAAUUUUAUCUGUGUAUAUUGCAAAAAAAUAUAAAAGCAAUUUAUGCAUACCCCUACUUGUUUACGGAAUUGUGCUAGCCAGCAAGAUCUAGAAGGCAACGCCCACAGCAUGUUGUAUUCCAGUCGACGAAACGAGAAUGUGUUUAGUGUUUUAAUAGAUCUCUAUUCAUUUAUGGACAAAAUUAUUUCUGAAGUUGUAAUACAUAAGUAGGUUUCAU